Long non-coding RNA from Centrocercus urophasianus (Greater sage-grouse), 1453 nucleotides. RefSeq lists it as uncharacterized. The transcript is spliced from 4 exons. NCBI's taxonomy places the organism in Eukaryota, Metazoa, Chordata, Aves, Galliformes, Phasianidae. The record is from RefSeq and is a predicted model, not a curated record.
UGGUCACAGAUUGUUAUACUUCUAAUGCUCAGAGCUUGGCUGUUUGUGCUGAAUGAGAGGAAUGGGCUGCUUGUAACUUCACAACCAGCCCUCUGCAUCCAACCGGCUGGCCAGCCUCUCCUUCAUCAGCCUUGGAAGUGGAUGAGCAGUUCCAGCUGAAGUUGAGAUAGGUUUUAAUCACCUUAAUUUCCUAUGAGGUCUAUGAGAAUUGAAAACUGUUUAGAAGGAAAAAAUUAAUGGUAGUGCUCUUGCACACAGAAGCACUGUCAGAAACCAUCAGUUACAAGGGUUUGAUGGGAGCUGCAGGGCCAGCCCACGUUCUCCAUCUCCAGACUGGCCACUGCAGGUAUCUGCAGCCAGGGCUGUAGCAAAUGGAGCAGAUGGUUAUGUUAUUGCACUGGGUGGAGACAUUGGGGACAAAGGAACUCAAGUUUUGCUAACUUUGCUCCUUGUGGUACAGACUCUUAUCUUAGGAAUUAGAGGAUAGCCUCAUGGAUAGCUUUAUUUAUUUAUUUGUUUGCUUAUGUAUGUAUGUAUGUAUUUAUUUAUUUAUUCAUUCAUUCAUUUAUAUGCACAUAUACAUAUUUGUAUUUGCUUCAUCACUUCCAGGGCAAGAUUCUUCUGGCUGAUCUAGUUUUCAAAGUCGAUAACAGUUCAGCCUGUACACAAUUUUCAGUUUUGUUUUUUUUCGGACCUAAGAUCACUGAUGAAGAUUUAUUAUCCAUGGUACUGCCUGCAAAGCAGUGGGAAGAUCAAACAGCCAGCUGCUCAACAUUGGUCACUGCCUUCAGAGAACGAUGAACACAUCAGCACGGCUGAGCGCUGCUGUAGAUCACCCAGCACACACAGAGGCCAGGGGAGAUCCUGCACUCCAGUCCCACAUCGAUCAGCAGCAUCAGCCCCACAUCGUCAGCAGCAGCACAUCCUGCUCCUUUGCCAUGGAGGGCAGCUGAUUUUUGUGGUCACCAGGGAAUGGGAGACGCAUGGCAGCAGUUGGGACAGCACAGACACAUGCAUCUGGUCCGCGGCUGUGGCGUGCUCAUGAGUGAGAUGCACUCUCAGGAGGGAGAGGAGGUUCUUCAAUACGUCUUAUGAAAGAGUCUUCUCACAAGAAAUGCCUCGGAAAGCAAACUUUGGGCCAAAAACAGAAAAGGCUUCAGACACCACCACGUGGCUUGAAGAUUGCAUGAAACUGAUGCAUAAGUGACCAUCCAGGAUGGUGGAAAGAAAAAAAGAAGGAAAAAAAAAAAAAAGCGUAAGGGAAAGAGGGGGCGAAGGAGGAGUUAAGUGCUACACAAUCACUGCAAAAGUUUUUUGUGGGCUUGGUUGCAAAUGUUGCCAUGAUCUGCUGGAUUUGUUCAUCAGAACAAGUGAUUACAAAGUACAACACAUUGUAUAAGUUGAGUAAAACAUGCAAUCAUACAAGGUACCAACACAAGAGUUGCAAUAAAUA